CCUACGGGAGGCAGCAGUGGGGAAUAUUGGGCAAUGGAGGCAACUCUGACCCAGCAACGCCGCGUGAAUGAUGAAGGUCUUCGGAUUGUAAAGUUCUUUUCUAAGGGAAGAAGAAAGUGACGGUAACUUAGGAAUAAGCCUCGGCUAACUACGUGCAAGCAGCCGCGGUAAGACGUAGGAGGCAAGCGUUAUCCGGAAGGAAUGGGCGUAAGGGGUGCGUAGGUGGUUUGAGAAGUUAGUAGCGAAACUCCGGGGCUCAACUUCGGAACUACUACUAAAACUGUUGGACUUGAGUGCAGGAGAGGCAAGCGGAAUUCCUGGUGUAGCGGUGGAAUGCGUAGAUAUUAGGAGGAACACCAGUGGCGAAGGCGGAUUGCUAGACUGUAACUGACGCUGAGGCACGAAAGCGUGGGGAGCAAACAGGAUUAGAUACCCGGGUAGUC
This 443-nucleotide ribosomal RNA is filed under the name uncultured bacterium. Its description in RNAcentral is "partial 16S ribosomal RNA". It matches the Rfam family "Bacterial small subunit ribosomal RNA", at positions 338 to 795 of the family's 1533-position model. The record is from RNAcentral.